Molecule: transfer RNA, 65 nt
Filed under: Nortia carinicollis
Lineage: Eukaryota; Metazoa; Arthropoda; Insecta; Coleoptera; Cerambycidae
Description: tRNA-Trp
Source: RNAcentral
AAGGAUUUAAGUUAAGCAAACUAUUAACCUUCAAAGUUAAAAAUAGGAAGGUUUCCUAAGCCUUA